CAGAGCAAAUAAUUUGGUACAUCAGAACCAAGCUUGUGCAUCCAGUGCACACUUUUAUUUUAGCAUUGAAAAAUAUUGACUGAGACAAGGUGUAAAACGCGGCUUAUGCAUUUGACCAUUUCCAACUUGGAAAGAAUGUGAAGAAAAGCACAUUUUUUUGCCUUCAUAAUUUUUAUGUCAUAUAUAGGACAUUGUGAAUGGAAAUAGAGUAAGUGCAUUAUUGCAUGAAGCUACAGCACAUACAAAAAAAUGUCAAAUUUAGCUUCUGAAAGGGAAAACCAAAAAUCAGCCUCUUUUGACAGUUUCUUUAAACUCUUACAAAAAUGAUUUUCAUUUGAGAUUUUUUCUGCAAGUACUUUGCUGGGCAUUCUGAAUGCAUAGCAAAACAUUGAUUUUCUCUUCUGUACUGCUGUUGCAGAUUUUGAUGGCAAAAUUUGAAGGGUAAAAAUAAAGACAAAAAUACUGAAAAUGUGAGACUUCCUGGGCACAAAUUUAAUAAAAACGAUCACUUCCUAUUUUA
RNAcentral lists this long non-coding RNA (520 nucleotides) under Dermacentor andersoni. RNAcentral describes it as "uncharacterized LOC126545494". The record is from RNAcentral. Lineage: Eukaryota; Metazoa; Arthropoda; Arachnida; Ixodida; Ixodidae.